GCUGGUGAAAUAUUUAGUAUGAAUUCAGUUAUAUGUUGCAUAAUAAAGUGCUGUCAAAGUGGCCAAUAUAUAGCAAUUACACUGUAUUCAGUUUCAUCAGAAUGAGAUUAUGAGACUUAAAAUUAAAUUUGAGUAUAAUUUCCAAAGAAAUUUACAUCAAACAUUUGGUUUCAUAAUCUUGUAUAUAUUAGGUGAAUGAACAUUCAGAACUAUUAGAGAUUAGUACUCCACAAUGGACGUCAAAAUCUCGAAAAUAGAAGAGUUCAUUUUCUGCAUAUAUACAUACAUAAUUCGGUAAAUGGCUUUUAGAUUGGCCAUGAUCACAUUGUUGAUAUAAAGUCAAUUUAAUCUUCUUAAAUGCUAAAUGCUGUCAAAAUGGCUUAGUGUAAAGAAGAUUAAUUGUCUUGUUUGGUUUUCAACAAUAAAAUCAAGCAACUUAAAAUUUAAUUUGAUCCUUAUUUCCAAAGAAGUCUGGUAUCAAACAUUUGGUUCUUGAUUUUGUAUAUGAUCAAAAUUGAACAUUCAGAUAUCAUUAGAGAUUAGUACACCCCAAAGGAUGUCAAAAUCUUGAAAAUGGUUGAGUUCUAUUUUCUGAACAUAUGCAUUUGGUGUGAAAUGAAUGUUCAAAUCAUGAAUUUUCAUUUUUGGGACAUACAGACAAUUCUAGUAUUAUGAUAAACUAGAAUGAUUUUACUGAUCAACUUCAUAUACAUAUAGACAUUUUCCUUUGAGCAUCAAUCAGGUUGAACUACAGGAUGACUCAAAUUUUAGAAAAUGGUAGAGGAACAUUGGGUUGAGCUUGGAGUACAUGAUUAUAAUCAUGUGUUGAAAGAAAUCCAUCUGAGAAUUGGCAGCAAAUAAAAGCAAGGAGAAGCAUUCAAAUGAAAGAAUCCAGUUCCUCAAUGCAGUAUCUAUCCUAG
RNAcentral lists this long non-coding RNA (920 nucleotides) under Rosa chinensis. RNAcentral's name for it is "sRNA RchiOBHm_Chr2g0171581". The record is from RNAcentral. Lineage: Eukaryota; Viridiplantae; Streptophyta; Magnoliopsida; Rosales; Rosaceae.